Long non-coding RNA from Mya arenaria, 793 nucleotides. RefSeq lists it as uncharacterized. The transcript has 3 exons. The record is from RefSeq and is a predicted model, not a curated record. Lineage: Eukaryota; Metazoa; Mollusca; Bivalvia; Myida; Myidae.
ACAAACAGUUUUAUAUUGUAUUUUAUUCAACAAACACUUUUUUAAGUACAAGAUGCGUGUUACACUGGAAAAUGGAGUGUCAGGGCAGUUCAUCGAACAAUUACAUGAGUAUUGAUCCCUAGCGGAUCCAUGGGAACUUAACUACAUCGCCAUAAAAUCGUCCAAAUUUUUAUUUCAAUACAAGAGAAAAUCAAAGCACUGAAAGUGCUGAGGGACGGUGCCUCUGGUGUAUGUGCAGAAAAUUAUACAGGGAGAGCUGCCUGGUUUCAAAAUCGUGUCGUUGUUAUCAACUAUUGACAGUGUGGUUAUUUAAAGAGCCAACUUUCGUCAUGCAUGACUAUUUUUUUAUGAAUGAAUGUUAAGCAAGCGAUCACUUCGUACGAAGUUGCAUACGAAGAUUUCUGCGACCGUUUUAUUAACGCUUUCGUACGUAAUUACUCUUCAAAAUGGGGAAGGAUUGGACGAAAAUGUACAAAAACCGCAGAAGCAAUCUUUUGAAAGAAAAGCUCAGUCAUCCGAGAUGCAGUGUUGCAGCACUGAAAAGCAUUGGGUGCCCAUCAAAGAGUGUUUCUCUUUGCCUGCAAUCAGGAUACAUCAACUGACCUUUGAACUGUGUUUUCCAACUUAGGAUUCAAACACAUGCCCUCUUGGGUAGGAGAAAGUCAGACAAACACCUGUGGCUAUAUCACUAUACUUCUUCAAGUCUUGCUCUAUGAGUGAUCAUGAUGUGAAAUAAAACAAAAUGCAGUCAUCUUUUUGUUAUAUUAAAUAAGUUAUGAACAAAUAAAAUAUU